Molecule: long non-coding RNA, 329 nt
Filed under: Ananas comosus (pineapple)
Lineage: Eukaryota; Viridiplantae; Streptophyta; Magnoliopsida; Poales; Bromeliaceae
Description: long non-coding RNA (ACOM_LNC003721)
Source: RNAcentral
GCUUCGUUGCAUACCCUAUAUAUCAUCUUUUGUAUUUGAUGAUUUUAGUAUUAUGAACGAUGUAAAAGAGCUUAUUUUUAAAUGUAAAAGCUUAAGUUUUUGGAUGAAAACAUGUUAUGUAAUUUUGGGAGAUCAUGUGAUGUAAAAAGAAGUGAUGAAAAGAAUGUAAAUGUAACAUGUGGUUGAAAGCAUGUAAGUGAUUAAAAGUUAAUUAUUGUACUUGUAUAAUGUGUAGUUUAGUACUCUCACUUUAGGCUAUUGCUUGCCCUCGUGCAAGCCAUGUAUAUCUUUGUUCCGUUGUGUAGAAUUCAUAUAUACAUGAUUUAUAC